UUGCAUGGUUAUUCAGUGAUGUGAAGAGAGAAAUGACCACAUGAAAAUCUUAGCUUCCAAUUUACGUAAUUACUGCUAUGACCUCCCCCUACCUCCAGUGAAAACAUGUCCCUUUGAACACCAGAAGUCACAAGGACAAACAGAAAACAUUCUGCCUUUGGUAUGAUGGAUCACUCCCAGUUUUUUACCCAGAUUUACUGGAACCAUGCCCUCUGGCUCUGAGAGGAGUCCUAUGUCUGGAGCAAUGAGAUCUCCAAUGCAUGACUGAGAAUGUGAUAUCAUAUAACCCCUUUGAAAACUGUGUGUUGUUUUCAUUGGGAACUAUGGCUAAACAUCAUCCUGAUUUCAUCUUUUGCCAUAAGCAGGCUGGUGUUGCCAUUGGAAGACUGUGUGAAAAACAUGAGGGCAAGUGUGUGAUUUGUGACUCCUAUAUGUGUCCCUGCACUCUGGUGCACAUAUGUGAUGAGUGUAACUAUGGAUCUUACUAGGGGCGCUGUGUGAUCUGUGGAGGCCCUGGGGUCUCCGAUGCCUAUUUUUGUAAAGAGUGCACCAUCCAGGAGAAUGAUAGAGAUGGCUGCCCAAAGAUUGUCAAUUUGUGGAGCUUUAAGACAGACCUCUUCUAUGAACGCAAAAAGUACGGCUUCAAGAAGAGGUGAUUGGUGGGUGGCCCCUUCCUUCCCCCCACCUUAAAGCUAUUGCAACUGCCAGAAAAGAUGCCUACUACCACCAGCAGAAAGAGAGCAGAACCCAGAGCAUCACCAGGAGUGCCUGCUAGUGUACUGGCCGCUUGCCACCCCCUCCUCUCCCUCCACCCAGACGUAUGGUAGGGAUGGAAAAGGAUUCUUCAGAGAGCACUCUGGCACACCUUAUUGGAGAAAAUUUGAUAGAUUAGUUAAUGGUGUUUCUCGAAUUUGGGAAGCAAAGAUCUGUUCUCCAUAUUGAUAUGUUCUCCCUCAACCAAGAUCUUCUAAAAAGAAAUAAUAUUUUAGCCUUCUGCUUGAGAAGUUGACUGUGAAGCUACGCCCAGUGAAAAACAUGUUCUUGCAGCAUUUCUGGUGGCAGCUGUCCUUGAGGAAACUUUGGUGUGUGGUGGGAAGCUAUCGGAACAAGAAAUGUAGUCAUUUACUCGUUUAACAGUUGUGUAAGCUUUCACUCUUUAAACACUUGUGCUAGCGUCAUGUUAUUUUCCUUCUGAGAAACUGGAAACCCUUUCUGUUGCUGUUAUAUUAAUAGAGUUGGUAUUUAUUUUCUGGUA
RNA transcript from Sapajus apella (tufted capuchin), 1255 nucleotides. It is a transcript of the gene named PHD finger-like domain-containing protein 5A pseudogene, with no coding region annotated. The record is from RefSeq and is a predicted model, not a curated record. The transcript has a single exon. Lineage: Eukaryota; Metazoa; Chordata; Mammalia; Primates; Cebidae.